ACCCGCUGAACUUAAGCAUAUCAAUAAGCGGAGGAAAAGAAACCAACAGGGAUUGCCUCAGUAACGGCGAGUGAAGCGGCAAGAGCUCAAAUUUAAAAGCCGACGUAGCUUUAAGAGACGUCCGCAUUGUAAUUUGAAGAGGCAUUCUCGGGUCGGGGCUCAGGCCUAAGUUCCUUGGAAGAGGGCGUCGUGGAGGGUGAGAACCCCGUUCGCGGCCUGCUGUCGACCUUUCCCCGAUCCACACGAGGUGCCAUCGAAGAGUCGAGUUGUUUGGGAAUGCAGCUCAAAGCGGGUGGUAAAUUCCAUCUAAAGCUAAAUAUUGACGGGAGACCGAUAGCGAACAAGUAGAGUGAUCGAAAGAUGAAAAGCACUUUUGAAAGAGAGUUAAACAGCACGUGAAAUUGUUGAAAGGGAAGCGCUUGAGACCAGUCACGGACCGAGGCGAUCAGUGGGACGUCCCUCUCGGGGGAGGAACCGCGCACUCGCUUUUCGGGUUUUCCGGGUCAACAUCGGUUGGGACGGUGUCAGAAAGGUCGCGGGAACGUGGCUCCCUUCACGGGGAGUGUUAUAGCCCGUGGCGUCAAAGUCGCCAGUUUCGACCGAGGACCGCGCUCGUCUUUUUCGAGCAAGGAUGUUGACGUAAUGGUCCC
RNAcentral lists this ribosomal RNA (650 nucleotides) under uncultured fungus. RNAcentral's name for it is "eukaryotic LSU rRNA". It matches the Rfam family "Eukaryotic large subunit ribosomal RNA", at positions 23 to 641 of the family's 3401-position model. Lineage: Eukaryota; Fungi. The record is from RNAcentral.